AAAGUCGUAACAAGGUCUCCGUUGGUGAACCAGCGGAGGGAUCAUUACCGAGUUUACAACUCCCAAACCCCUGUGAACAUACCUUAAUGUUGCCUCGGCGGAUCAGCCCGCGCCCCGUAAAACGGGACGGCCCGCCAGAGGACCCAAACUCUAAUGUUUCUUAUUGUAACUUCUGAGUAAAACAAACAAAUAAAUCAAAACUUUCAACAACGGAUCUCUUGGUUCUGGCAUCGAUGAAGAACGCAGCAAAAUGCGAUAAGUAAUGUGAAUUGCAGAAUUCAGUGAAUCAUCGAAUCUUUGAACGCACAUUGCGCCCGCUGGUAUUCCGGCGGGCAUGCCUGUUCGAGCGUCAUUUCAACCCUCAAGCCCCCGGGUUUGGUGUUGGGGAUCGGCUCUGCCUUCUGGCGGUGCCGCCCCCGAAAUACAUUGGCGGUCUCGCUGCAGCCUCCAUUGCGUAGUAGCUAACACCUCGCAACUGGAACGCGGCGCGGCCAUGCCGUAAAACCCCAACUUCUGAAUGUUGACCUCGGAUCAGGUAGGAAUACCCGCUGAACUUAAGCAUAUCAAUAAG
This 571-nucleotide ribosomal RNA is filed under the name Fusarium avenaceum. RNAcentral describes it as "eukaryotic LSU rRNA". The stretch from base 199 to 352 matches the Rfam family "5.8S ribosomal RNA". Lineage: Eukaryota; Fungi; Ascomycota; Sordariomycetes; Hypocreales; Nectriaceae. The record is from RNAcentral.